CUCGUAGGCGGUUCGUCGCGUCCGGUGUGAAAGUCCAUCGCUUAGCGGUGGAUCCGCGCCGGGUACGGGCGGGCUUGAGUGCGGUAGGGGAGACUGGAAUUCCCGGUGUAACGGUGGAACGUGUAGAUAUCGGGAAGAACACCAAUGGCGAAGGCAGGUCUCUGGGCCGUCACUGACGCUGAGGAGCGAAAGCGUGGGGAGCGAACA
This 207-nucleotide ribosomal RNA is filed under the name uncultured bacterium. Its description in RNAcentral is "partial 16S ribosomal RNA". It matches the Rfam family "Bacterial small subunit ribosomal RNA", at positions 568 to 774 of the family's 1533-position model. The record is from RNAcentral.